GACGAACGCUGGCGGCGUGCUUAACACAUGCAAGUCGAACGGAAAGGCCCCCACUUUUUUGGUGGGGGUGCUCGAGUGGCGAACGGGUGAGUAACACGUGGGUGAUCUGCCCUGUACUUCGGGAUAAGCUUGGGAAACUGGGUCUAAUACCGGAUAGGACCAUGGUUUAGUGUCUCAUGGUGGAAAAAUUAUUGUUUUGGUGCAGGAUGAGCUCGCGGCCUAUCAGCUUGUUGGUGGGGUAAUGGCCUACCAAGGCGUCGACGGGUAGCCGGCCUGAGAGGGUGGACGGCCACAUUGGGACUGAGAUACGGCCCAGACUCCGACGGGAGGCAGCAGUGGGGAAUAUUGCACAAUGGGCGCAAGCCUGAGGCAGCGACGCCGCGUGGGGGAUGACGGCCUUCGGGUUGUAAACUCCUUUCGUUAGGGACGAAGCCGCACCUUUUUUGGGUGUGGUGACGGUACCUUUGUUAAGAAGCACCGGCUAACUACGUG
Molecule: ribosomal RNA, 492 nt
Filed under: uncultured bacterium
Lineage: Bacteria
Description: partial 16S ribosomal RNA
Rfam family: Bacterial small subunit ribosomal RNA
Source: RNAcentral